CAUGCGCACGAGGAACCAAAGAACUACAAUUUCCAGACUGAUGUGGGUUGUUCUGGGGCUUUUUUCCUGGAGCUACGGAGUAGUUCUUGCGGCCACAUUACCUCCUUUCCUAGCACACGAAAGACUGGUCCGGUUUUCCGACAAAGAGCAUAAAGACCUCAAGAGUUAAACUUGGUACUAAUCCUUAAAUCAGAGGAAGGGCGGGGAAGCGAAUGGUCUUUGAGCCAAUCAGAAUGCAGUCUCUAAUCCUUGCUCCAGCUUUCAACAACCUCUCAGUGCGUCUCUAUGGCAACCAAAUCAGCAUUUCCCUGAAAGGAAACGGAAAUGGAAGUAUGACCUCGGAAAUUUCGCCCCCGUGGGAAAAGGCUGAGGAAACCGAAUCCCUGAAAGAAGGCAGAAGAUGGAAUUGAUUUUUGGGAUGAGGCCCAGAAGUGGAUCAUGGCCAGAUAUGAAGAGGAAAUGGAUCUCAUUUUUGGUGAGAAAGCCUUGCAUUCUAUAUUUUCUUACCUGACAUAGUGUGUCAAUGAUUACAAGCUAUAUUUUUUAAUUUUAAAAAACUUUUAUUAUUAUAUUUUUCUUGCAUGUGUAAUAUACUUUUUCAGUUUUUUUAAUUUUUUCUCUCCUUUUUAUAUUUAAAGCACAUGUCACCAGCAUUAAGAUUUUCUUUUGCAGUAAUAUAAGUUUAAAAUACAUUUGCUAAUGCAUGCCCUCAAAGCUUGAGACUAUAAAAAUGAUGCUACUAAUUAUUUUUUAAAAAUUAUGGGACUUUACUUAAUAAUUCUGUCUGACUCCAGGACAAGAUAUACACAAAAGAGCCAUUGCACAGUGCCAAAGAAGCACAAAGCUAAACUGCAUAGUGCUAAUCGAGCACAAGGUCAAAGAGACCUUGGGUGGUCUUGGGUGGGAUUGAUGUAAUUUUGAGCCUAGACAAAGAGGACUUGAACAUGUUUGGGGUUUGAGGUUGCAGCUGUUUAACAUGUGUUAAAGGCAGGUCUUCCUUGUUCCACAUUUUACCAAGUAUCUUAAAUUUGGCUCCUACAAUCUAGUCCCUUUUUUCUGUCUUUGAACGUGUGGUAACUUUCUGUAGUCCUGGCUACUGACUGGGUAAAUGCAUCAUUACUUAGAUCAUUUUAAUUGGGCCCUGAUUCAAGGACUUGUUAUAGAUUUAUUUUUCCUUCACUUAGAAUUUUUACACAUAAGACUUUGAUAGUCUAUAUUUUCAUCCAGAAAAUUUUCUUUUUUAUUUGGAUUUUUCUGAUUCUUUUUAAUUUCCCUUACCAAUUGAUUCACCUCAACCAUGCAUCCCUAAGUGAUCCUGUGUUUUUUUUUUCCAAUCACCCACAACAUGGGGAAAUGUAAAAAAUAUUAUUUUAAAUUGCAAAGUUUAAAUUCCUUUUGAGAAGAAUUUUAGGUAAAGAAAGAUGCUACCUCUCUGAAUCCAGAAACUGAACUGUUGGAGAAGACACCAUGAAGAAGCCUCGAGACCACAAGCUGCACAAGAAUGAACUUUGGGUGCAGUUGAUUGAACAUUUAUUUGUAUGUAUACUUUCAUGCCAAAAGGGACUGCCCCCUAACUGGUUUUUUGUCAAUGCGUCCAGCAAUUAUUGGUUUUGUUCUUUUUUCCCCCCUCUUAUCCUCAAAUUAUUGUAAUUUUUCAAUUGAUUAUGUUUUCAUGAUCCUUUGGGGGAAAAAUAUUUUUUUCCCCAAACGAUAAUAUGGAGGGAUAUAAAAAUGGAGAUUUGAACUCCGGACUCCAAUCCCCAGGAGUCCUUGCUAGCUCCCAGAAUGCCCUCUAAUCUCACUGAGAUUUCCAUCUGGGCGAGGUCAAGAAUUUCUAUUUAACCUGGCUGUAAAGGCUACUGGGUCUCUUUCCUACUUCCACUUCGGAGCACACGCGGUUCUCCACCUAGCAGGCAAGAUGUGAGUGAUCGUGAAUAGGCUCUCUAGGCCUAGCACGUGCCUUUCUUAUUUGUAUUUUCCUAAAUUCCUUAUCUUAAAUAAACCUCUAAAAAUACAA
Molecule: long non-coding RNA, 2017 nt
Organism: Monodelphis domestica (gray short-tailed opossum)
Lineage: Eukaryota; Metazoa; Chordata; Mammalia; Didelphimorphia; Didelphidae
Source: RefSeq, a predicted model, not a curated record